Molecule: non-coding RNA, 75 nt
Organism: Myotis brandtii (Brandt's bat)
Lineage: Eukaryota; Metazoa; Chordata; Mammalia; Chiroptera; Vespertilionidae
Source: Rfam
GGCAGUUCUCAGGUGACGCACCCCAGGAUUGGGCUCCCUCCUCUCUGGUUCUGGGUGUGUCACCCAAGAACCACC